UACCUUUGCACCCAAUCGGGAUAGGCCCGUUACAUAAAAAUUAUUUAAACAAAUAUUGGCAUG
Regulatory RNA element from Flavobacterium beibuense F44-8, 63 nucleotides. It matches the Rfam family "S15-Flavobacteria ribosomal protein leader". The record is from Rfam. Lineage: Bacteria; Pseudomonadati; Bacteroidota; Flavobacteriia; Flavobacteriales; Flavobacteriaceae.